UACGUAGGGGGCUAGCGUUGUCCGGAAUCAUUGGGCGUAAAGCGCGCGUAGGCGGUCAGGUAAGUCCGGUGUGAAAGUCAAAGGCUCAACCUUUGAAUGCCGCUGGAUACUGCCUGACUUGAGUCCGGAAGGGGCGAGUGGAAUUCCUGGUGUAGCGGUGGAAUGCGCAGAUAUCAGGAGGAACACCAAUAGCGAAGGCAGCUCGCUGGGACGUUACUGACACUGAGGCGCGAAAGCGUGGGGAGCGAACACG
This 253-nucleotide ribosomal RNA is filed under the name uncultured bacterium. RNAcentral's name for it is "partial 16S ribosomal RNA". It matches the Rfam family "Bacterial small subunit ribosomal RNA", at positions 524 to 776 of the family's 1533-position model. The record is from RNAcentral.